GACGAACCGUGCGAACGUUAUUCGGAAUCACUGGGCUUAAAGGGCGCGUAGGCGGGCCGCCAAGUCAGGGGUGAAAGCCCCCAGCUCAACUGGGGAAGUGCCUUUGAUACUGGCGGUCUCGAGGGGGAUAGGGGCGUGCGGAACUCCCGGUGGAGCGGUGAAAUGCGUAGAUAUCGGAAGGAACACCGGUGGCGAAAGCGGCGCGCUGGAUCGCUUCUGACGCUGAGGCGCGAAAGCCAGGGGAGCGAACGGG
This 253-nucleotide ribosomal RNA is filed under the name uncultured bacterium. RNAcentral describes it as "partial 16S ribosomal RNA". It matches the Rfam family "Bacterial small subunit ribosomal RNA", at positions 524 to 776 of the family's 1533-position model. The record is from RNAcentral.